AUUGAACGCUGGCGGAAUGCUUUACACAUGCAAGUCGAACGGCAGCACGGACUUCGGUCUGGUGGCGAGUGGCGAACGGGUGAGUAAUGUAUCGGAACGUGCCCAGUCGUGGGGGAUAACGUAGUGAAAAUUACGCUAAUACCGCAUACGAUCUAUGGAUGAAAGCGGGGGAUCGCAAGACCUCGCGCGAUUGGAGCGGCCGAUAUCAGAUUAGGUCGUUGGUGGGGUAACGGCCCACCAAGCCAACGAUCUGUAGCUGGUCUGAGAGGACGACCAGCCACACUGGAACUGAGACACGGUCCAGACUCCUACGGGAGGCAGCAGUGGGGAAUUUUGGACAAUGGGCGAAAGCCUGAUCCAGCCAUUCCGCGUGCAGGAUGAAGGCCCUCGGGUUGUAAACUGCUUUUGUACAGAACGAAAAGGUUUCUACUAAUACUAGGAGCUCAUGACGGUACUGUAAGAAUAAGCACCGGCUAACUACGUGCCAGCCGCCGCAGUAA
RNAcentral lists this ribosomal RNA (500 nucleotides) under uncultured bacterium. RNAcentral's name for it is "partial 16S ribosomal RNA". It matches the Rfam family "Bacterial small subunit ribosomal RNA", at positions 30 to 523 of the family's 1533-position model. The record is from RNAcentral.